GAUGAACGCUGGCGGCGUGCCUAAUACAUGCAAGUCGAGCGAACAGACGAGGAGCUUGCUCCUCUGACGUUAGCGGCGGACGGGUGAGUAACACGUGGAUAACCUACCUAUAAGACUGGGAUAACUUCGGGAAACCGGAGCUAAUGCCGGAUAAUAUAUUGAACCGCAUGGUUCAAUAGUGAAAGACGGUUUUGCUGUCACUGAUAGAUGGAUCCGCGCCGCAUUAGCUAGUUUGUAAGGUAACGGCUUACCAAGGCGACGAUGCGUAGCCGACCUGAGAGGGUGAUCGGCCACACUGGAACUGAGACACGGUCCCGACUCCUACGGGAGGCAGCAGUAGGGAAUCUUCCGCAAUGGGCGAAAGCCUGACGGAGCAACGCCGCGUGAGUGAUGAAGGUCUUCGGAUCGUAAAACUCUGUUAUUAGGGAAGAACAAAUGUGUAAGUAACUAUGCACGUCUUGACGGUACCUAAUCAGAAAGCCACGGCUAACUACGUG
RNAcentral lists this ribosomal RNA (497 nucleotides) under uncultured bacterium. Its description in RNAcentral is "partial 16S ribosomal RNA". It matches the Rfam family "Bacterial small subunit ribosomal RNA", at positions 28 to 507 of the family's 1533-position model. The record is from RNAcentral.